This 39-nucleotide unclassified non-coding RNA is filed under the name avian metapneumovirus. RNAcentral describes it as "Avian metapneumovirus miscellaneous RNA". Lineage: Riboviria; Orthornavirae; Negarnaviricota; Monjiviricetes; Mononegavirales; Pneumoviridae. The record is from RNAcentral.
UGAGGAACUAAAAUUGGAUGAAUACGGUUUUUUUGCCGU